GUAAGUAAAAGUUUUAACUGGAUGCUCUUUGCAAAGUGGAUUAGCCUCCAUAAGACAUGAUCAUAAGACAGUCAUCACUGGUAUUACAAAUCCCAAGAGUCUUCUUUGAAGUCUUUAAUAUGAACCAUCAAGGCAUAAAGUUAAGGUCACAGAGCUGUUGUCCUUAUAUCCCAGAGUGGAGGUGCAGAAUUCUCACUCUGGUGAAGACUGACAGGAUCAUCUACUAAAUACAAAGGAGUUAAAAUUCUCAGAAAGAAAAAUGGAAUUUUUUUGGAAUUCAGCUAGAGACAUGGAUUUGGAAAGAGAAAGAAAAAAUUAGUCUUUGUUUGUUUGUAAUGGCCAGUUGAUAAGAGAAAAGUGAUCCUAGAAAUUAUAGUCCCUGCUACUCAGUCCUGGAGCCACUGAGGGAAAAAUACAACCGAAACUUUCAAUACCUAAUGAAUUUUCUCCAACUUACGUGAGUGCGUGUAUAAC
This 474-nucleotide long non-coding RNA is filed under the name Equus caballus (horse). Its description in RNAcentral is "lncRNA (ENSECAG00000030235.3)". The record is from RNAcentral. Lineage: Eukaryota; Metazoa; Chordata; Mammalia; Perissodactyla; Equidae.